CCAUUUGAAAUUUUUCUGCACCAUACAAAAUUUAAUCCUCAGGCCCAUGUGGUCUGUGGGUGGGUCUUGUUCAGCCCCAACAAAUGAAAGAAGAUUAAUUAACAGAAGCAGCUGCAGCUGGGCCUGGAGGCAGUGGCUCUACAGCAGCAGUGAGAGCCGAGCUGUGGCAGACACAUGCUCUUCCCCUGACUCACGGCUGCCCAGUUCCCUCCAGCGAGGCUGCUGACCUAUUUUUCUAUUAGGAACAACCAGCCAAUGUGAUAAUGAGGAAAAUGUAUUCUGGCCCCUAUGAAGUUUAGUGAAGCCCGAAUGAAGUGGAGGAGGCCACGGAGAUGCACGAGGAAGAGCAUUCCAGGCAGAGGGAACAGCGAGGACAAAAGCCCCCGGGCAGGAAUGGGUGUGCAAGCCUGAGAUCCAACAUGGCGGAGAGCAAGCCGGAAGUGCUGCGCGGGGAUCCUAAGGGAGCACUGAACAGGACAAGCUCAGUUUUGUCCCUCAAACCUCCACAAUCAGCUAUUUUACAUAAGGAAAGUGGGUGGUGAUUAACCUCAGAGUCUCCAGGGACAGACUAUCCAGGACUGUGCCUGAAAUAGAAGAGGAAUUAACAUCAUACAGAACUGAAUACGGUGACUGAGGGGAGUUUGUGUCUCCCCUUUUAGGAAAGAAGAUGAGAAUAAGUAUGAAGGAGAGUCAUGUACUGUACAUUAAGCAAAAGCAUGAUGCUGUUAUUUGAAAUGUUAAUUAGAGGUGCCCACUAAAAACUGCUCAGCAAUUUUCUUGGAGACCUCAGUGCUCAUGUUAUUCUUUCCUCUAUCUUAUGUUUUCCUCUCUCCUGCCCUUUUCAGAAACAGUCUACAGCAGAAGCCAUUGACCCUGUUCAAAUUACAGAAGAGCCCUUUUUGAAUUUAUGAAAAUCCUGAAAUAUUAAAAUUUAUUAUUUUAAUAUUAAUAUAUUAAAUUAAUAUAUUAAUCUACCCGCCUCGGCCUCCCAAAGUGCUGGUAUUACGGGCAUGAGCCACCGAACCCAGCCUCAUGUUAUGACUUUCCAACCAUAAUUUAGUGUUAACAAAGUAAUCACAAAAGUAAUAUAUUAGUUUGAAAUUAGUAAUGCCCACCAGAUUCAAUCACUAAAAAAUGUGAUAUCAUUAAAAACCAUUUUUCUACAUGUUAACAAGAGCCAACUUCUGUCCCAAGCAGGUUGAAUUAUCACAAUUUCCUGAUAAGCAGAGUCCAGCUUCCUAAUUCAAACUCUCAAACUCAUUGUUAAAUAAGCCCAGAGGAGUUGGACAUUUUCCAUCACGCAUGUGGGAAGAAAGAAGGCCAACGAUGCUCUUCAGAUUUAACAAGUAAACCUUAAAAGUAUCUGUUAAGAAUACAGAGAUGCCCAUGACAACACUAUCACCAGAGCAACAACUAUCAACUAAGGUAACCAUGUAGAAAUAAUGUCCUUUUUGUAGGUCUUCUUUUCUUCCUUUUUCUUUUUCUUCUUUUCCUUUUUUUUUGGUGCAAGACAUGGCAACAAUUUCUAAAGUCUAUGUUUACAUUAUACUUGCAAGAAAAGGCUUAUUUUAAUCACAGCACAAGUGGGUAACUGUUACAGAUAUUCACAUGACUCUGCACUUCCCAUUUGACAGCAGAGGGCAGGAUUGUGGUGGCCGCUCUCAAGUUACCAUCAUCACAAAUCAGCUUAUUUAAAACAGUUUAUUAUGAUUAUAAAUAAUCUAAAAUAUUUUAUUUAAAAUAGAUUAUUUAGAAUAAAUUAUUUUAAAUACUUUGUGAUGUAGAACAUUCUCUCUGGCCGGGUGUGGUGGUUCAUGCCUAUAAUCCCAGCACUUUGGGAGGCCAAGAUGGGAGGAUUGCUUGAGCCCAGGAGUUUGAGACCAGCCUAAACAACAUAGCGAGACUCCGUCUCUACUAAAAAUACAUAAAUGAGCUGGGUGUAGUAGCUUGCAUCUGUAGCCCCAGCUACUCAGGAGGCUGAGGUGGGAGGAUCACUCAAGCCCAGGAGGUUGAGGCUGCAGGGCUGUGAUCGCACCACUGCAUUCCAGCCUGGGUGACAGAAUGAGACUGUCUCAAAAAAAAAAAAAAAAAAAAAAAAAGGGCUAGGCGUAGUGGCUCACAUCUGUAAUCCCAGCACUUUGGGAGGCCGAGGCAGGCGGAUCACUUGAGGUCAGGAGUUCAAGACCAGCCUGGCCAACAUGUGAAACCCCGUCUCUACCAAAAAAUACAAAAAUUAGCUGGGCGUGGUGGCACGUGCCUGUGAUCCCAGAUACUUGGGAGGCUGAGGUGGGAGGAUUGCUUAAACUAGAGGCGGAGGUUGCAAUGAGAUGAGAUCACACCACUGCACUCCAGCCUGGGUAACAGAGUGAGACUGUCUCAAAAAUAAAAUAAAUAAGUAACAUUUUUUUCUGACCUUCCCUGUUCUUUCUGAGACCCCCUUGUUAAAUUUUAAGACUUGCAGUUUUUGAGGCCUGGUUCUGAAGUGAACUACUCAGCAUUACUUGCAAAGGACAGACCUGCAAAGUGACGUUUUGCUGGCAGAAAUGGAGAAGGAGCUGAGUACAGAUUUCAUGUAAUAAAAGUGAAAUG
This 2589-nucleotide long non-coding RNA is filed under the name Homo sapiens (human). RNAcentral describes it as "HSALNT0238560". Lineage: Eukaryota; Metazoa; Chordata; Mammalia; Primates; Hominidae. The record is from RNAcentral.